Erinaceus europaeus (western European hedgehog) is the source of this 73-nucleotide non-coding RNA. NCBI's taxonomy places the organism in Eukaryota, Metazoa, Chordata, Mammalia, Eulipotyphla, Erinaceidae. The record is from Rfam.
AGUGUUAGGAUGGUAGGCAAAAUGUUCAACUGCUCUGAAUAGGCUGAAUAAAAAAUAACCUUUUUGAACAACU